UGCAGUCGAGCGGAUGACGGGAGCUUGCUCCUGGAUUCAGCGGCGGACGGGUGAGUAAUGCCUAGGAAUCUGCCUGGUAGUGGGGGACAACGUUUCGAAAGGGACGCUAAUACCGCAUACGUCCUACGGGAGAAAGCGGGGGACCUUCGGGCCUUGCGCUAUCGGAUGAGCCUAGGUCGGAUUAGCUAGUUGGUGGGGUAAUGGCUCACCAAGGCGACGAUCCGUAACUGGUCUGAGAGGAUGAUCAGUCACACUGGAACUGAGACACGGUCCAGACUCCUACGGGAGGCAGCAGUGGGGAAUAUUGGACAAUGGGCGAAAGCCUGAUCCAGCCAUGCCGCGUGUGUGAAGAAGGUCUUCGGAUUGUAAAGCACUUUAAGUUGGGAGGAAGGGCAUUAACCUAAUACCUUACUGUUUUGACGUUACCGACAGAAUAAGCACCGGCUAACUCUGUGCCAGCAGCCGCGGUAAUACAAAGGGUGCAAGCGUUAAUCGGAAUUACUGGGCGUAAAGCGCGCGUAGGUGGUUUGUUAAGUUGGAUGUGAAAUCCCCGGGCUCAACCUGGGAACUGCAUCCAAAACUGCUGAGCUAGAGUACGAGUAGAGGGUGGUGGAAUUUCCUGUGUAGCGGUGAGAUGCGUAGAUAUAGGAAGGAACACCAGUGGCGAAGGGCGACCACCUGCACUGAUACUGACACUGAGGUGCGAAAGCGUGGGGAGCAGACAGGAUUAGAUACCCUGG
This 740-nucleotide ribosomal RNA is filed under the name Pseudomonas putida. RNAcentral describes it as "bacterial SSU rRNA". It matches the Rfam family "Bacterial small subunit ribosomal RNA", at positions 56 to 790 of the family's 1533-position model. Lineage: Bacteria; Pseudomonadati; Pseudomonadota; Gammaproteobacteria; Pseudomonadales; Pseudomonadaceae. The record is from RNAcentral.